UUUAAAUUGAGAGUUUGAUCCUGGCUCAGGACGAACGCUGGCGGCGUGCCUAACACAUGCAAGUCGAGCGAUGAAACUUCCUUCGGGAAGUGGAUUAGCGGCGGACGGGUGAGUAACACGUGGGUAACCUGCCUCAAAGAGUGGGAUAGCCUCCCGAAAGGGAGAUUAAUACCGCAUAACAUUAUUUUAUGGCAUCAUAAAAUAAUCAAAGGAGCAAUCCGCUUUGAGAUGGACCCGCGGCGCAUUAGCUAGUUGGUGAGGUAACGGCUCACCAAGGCAACGAUGCGUAGCCGACCUGAGAGGGUGAUCGGCCACAUUGGAACUGAGACACGGUCCAGACUCCUACGGGAGGCAGCAGUGGGGAAUAUUGCGCAAUGGGGGAAACCCUGACGCAGCAACGCCGCGUGAGUGAUGAAGGUUUUCGGAUCGUAAAACUCUGUCUUUAGGGACGAUAAU
Molecule: ribosomal RNA, 456 nt
Filed under: Clostridium botulinum C/D str. BKT2873
Lineage: Bacteria; Bacillati; Bacillota; Clostridia; Eubacteriales; Clostridiaceae
Description: bacterial SSU rRNA
Rfam family: Bacterial small subunit ribosomal RNA
Source: RNAcentral